CAGCUUGCUGGGCGGAUUAGUGGCGAACGGGUGAGUAACACGUGAGCAACCUGCCCCUGACUCUGGGAUAACAGCCGGAAACGGUUGCUAAUACCGGAUACGCAUCAUGGCCGCAUGGUCUGUGGUGGGAAAGAUUUCUCGGUUGGGGAUGGGCUCGCGGCCUAUCAGCUUGUUGGUGAGGUAGUGGCUCACCAAGGCGUCGACGGGUAGCCGGCCUGAGAGGGUGACCGGCCACACUGGGACUGAGACACGGCCCAGACUCCUACGGGAGGCAGCAGUGGGGAAUAUUGCACAAUGGGCGGAAGCCUGAUGCAGCAACGCCGCGUGAGGGACGACGGCCUUCGGGUUGUAAACCUCUUUUAGCAGGGAAGAAGCGAGAGUGACGGUACCUGCAGAAAAAGCGCCGGCUAACUACGUGCCAGCAGCCGCGGUAAUACGUAGGGCGCAAGCGUUAUCCGGAAUUAUUGGGCGUAAAGAGCUCGUAGGCGGUUUGUCGCGUCUGCUGUGAAAUCCCGAGGCUCAACCUCGGGUCUGCAGUGGGUACGGGCAGACUAGAGUGCGGUAGGGGAGAUUGGAAUUCCUGGUGUAGCGGUGGAAUGCGCAGAUAUCAGGAGGAACACCGAUGGCGAAGGCAGAUCUCUGGGCCGUUACUGACGCUGAGGAGCGAAAGGGUGGGGAGCAAACAGGCUUAGAUACCCUGGUAGU
This 705-nucleotide ribosomal RNA is filed under the name Microbacterium sp. RNAcentral describes it as "bacterial SSU rRNA". It matches the Rfam family "Bacterial small subunit ribosomal RNA", at positions 76 to 794 of the family's 1533-position model. The record is from RNAcentral. Lineage: Bacteria; Bacillati; Actinomycetota; Actinomycetes; Micrococcales; Microbacteriaceae.